GGAUUGUGGCUCAGUGGUAGAGCGCACCCCUAGCAUGGGUGGGACCCAGGUUCGAUCCUCAGCACCA
Molecule: transfer RNA, 67 nt
Filed under: Marmota monax (woodchuck)
Lineage: Eukaryota; Metazoa; Chordata; Mammalia; Rodentia; Sciuridae
Description: tRNA.Ala
Source: RNAcentral